CAGUGGGGAAUUUUGGACAUUGGGGGAAACCUUAAUCCAGCAAUGCCGCGUGUGCGAAGAAGGCCUUCGGGUUGUAAAGCACUUUUGUCAGGGAAGAAAUCCUUUGGGCUAAUACCCUAGGGGGAUGACGGUACCUGAAGAAUAAGCACCGGCUAACUACGUGCCAGCAGCCGCGKUAAUACGUAGGGUGCAAGCGUUAAUCGGAAUUACUGGGCGUAAAGCGUGCGCAGGCGGUUGUKUAAGACAGGUGUGAAAUCCCCGGGCUUAACCUGGGAAUUSCAUUUGUGACUGCWCGACUAGAGUGUGUCAGAGGGGGGUGGAAUUCCACGUGUAGCAGUGAAAUGCGUAGAUAUGUGGAGGAACACCAAUGGCGAAGGCAGCCCCCUGGAAUAACACUGACGCUCAUGCRCGAAAGCGUGGGGAGCAAACAGGAUUAGAUACCCUGGUAGUCCACGCCCUAAACGAUGUCAACUAGUUGUUGGGGAUUUACUUCCUUGGUAACGUAACUAACGCGUGAAGUUGACCGCCUGGGGAAUACCGCCGCAAGGUUAAAACUCAAGGAAUUGACGG
Molecule: ribosomal RNA, 570 nt
Filed under: uncultured bacterium
Lineage: Bacteria
Description: bacterial SSU rRNA
Rfam family: Bacterial small subunit ribosomal RNA
Source: RNAcentral